This 512-nucleotide ribosomal RNA is filed under the name uncultured bacterium. RNAcentral describes it as "bacterial SSU rRNA". It matches the Rfam family "Bacterial small subunit ribosomal RNA", at positions 19 to 518 of the family's 1533-position model. The record is from RNAcentral.
CUGGCUCAGAACGAACGCUGGCGGCGCGUUUAAGCAUGCAAGUCGAGCGGCAAGGGCCUUCGGGCCCCUAGAGCGGCGGACGGGUGAGUAACACGUGGACAAUCUCGCCCCCCGGCCCGGGAUAGCCCAGGGAAACCUGGAUUAAUACCGGAUGAGACGGGACCCGCGAUGGCGGGAUCCGGGAAAGGCGCUGCGGCGCCGCCGGGGGAUGAGUCUGCGUCCCAUUAGCUAGACGGCGGGGUAACGGCCCACCGUGGCGACGAUGGGUAGCCCGGCCUGAGAGGGUGGACGGCCACAUUGGAACUGAGACACGGUCCAGACUCCUACGGGAGGCAGCAGCUAAGAAUCUUCCGCAAUGGGGCGAAAGCCUGACGGAGCGACGCCCGCGUGAACGGAGAAGGCCGUGAGGUUGUAAAGUUCUUUUCGGGAGGGGGAACAACCGUGGCAGGGAAUGGCCGCGGGAUGACGUGAAUCCCGGAAUAAGCCCCGGCUAACUACGUGCCAGCAGCCGC